Molecule: long non-coding RNA, 834 nt
Filed under: Marmota monax (woodchuck)
Lineage: Eukaryota; Metazoa; Chordata; Mammalia; Rodentia; Sciuridae
Source: RNAcentral
AAUGAAACAGACAUUAUUACUGUAUGUAUAUAUGUGCUACAUGGCCAAUAUGAUUCUGCAACAUGAACACUCAGAAAAAUGAGAAAUCAUAUCCCAUCUAUGAAUGAUAUAUCAAAGUACAUAAAUUCAUUUUACUGUCAUGUAUAACUAAUUAAAACAAAUAAUUUUUUUAAAAAAAGCUGGAUUGGAGCAUGGAGGUUCCUAAUAUUCAACUAUGAGCUAAGUGGGCUCAGUCCUUCCUUCACUGGCCUCUUGCACAGAGCUGACUCUACCCCUGUACAUUCAUUGAAUGGAAGAAGAGCUCAACUGAAGGCACCUUUCCCAGGCAGGUGCAUCCAAGAGAGAGAGGAUGAGGUGGGCAUUCUUACUACCUAGGUAAGUCACUCCUUGGAGAAUGGAACAAAGGAUGGAAAGAAGGGCUCGAAGUUAUUAUAACUGACGUCACUCCAUGUGAAAGCAUAAGGUCAGAGAAAUGGAGAGCCCCACUAGUGUGAUAGUAGGAGCAAAUGUGACUCCAUUUUGUUUUAUGACUUCAUCCUGUAAAACAACCAUGCCAAGUAGAAGAGUCAUGACUGGAGCAAGAUGUUCUUUUCCUUUUGCUAUAGAAACCUUUAAGAAUACUGAACUACCUAAUGGGGUAUUGUUUCUGUAACUAGGGUAACGGGGCUCUGUUUCUGUAACUGGGGUGACUGGGCUAACUGUGAUUGGUUAGGCUUCCCUCCGCUUGACUGCACUGUCCCGCUUCUGUAACCUGGCUUGCUUGCAUUGGCUAGACCCCCGAACAUCCCUUUUGCGGUUUUCAGGCUUAUAAGGAGUGCCCUUGCAAUUGUUCGG